This 301-nucleotide ribosomal RNA is filed under the name uncultured bacterium. Its description in RNAcentral is "partial 16S ribosomal RNA". It matches the Rfam family "Bacterial small subunit ribosomal RNA", at positions 509 to 809 of the family's 1533-position model. The record is from RNAcentral.
CAGCAGCCGCGGUAACACGUAGGUGGCAAGCGUUGUCCGGAAUUAUUGGGCGUAAAGGGCUCGCAAGCGGUUUCUUAAGUCUGAUGUGAAAGCCCCCGGCUCAACCGGGGAGGGUCAUUGGAAACUGGGAAACUUGAGUGCAGAAGAGGAGAGUAGAAUUCCACGUGUAGCGGUGAAAUGCGUAGAGAUGUGGAGGAACACCAGUGGCGAAGGCGACUCUCUGGUCUGUAACUGACGCUGAGGAGCGAAAGCGUGGGGAGCGAACAGGAUUAGAGACCCCCGUAGUCCCUGUCUCUUAUAA